CAAUGCUGAGGAGUCCUACUAUAGGACGAAACGGCCGUCCAAUGC
This 45-nucleotide non-coding RNA is filed under the name Schistosoma margrebowiei. The record is from RNAcentral. Lineage: Eukaryota; Metazoa; Platyhelminthes; Trematoda; Strigeidida; Schistosomatidae.